AAAAACCUUCUAGAAACAGCAGUUCAUGGCAGUUUCACACUCUCUCUCCUCUCAAUCUGCAGUUGGCGAUGGUUUUACAAGAUCCUUCAUAAUCGCGCACGUUUGCCUCACAAUCGCACCCACGUUUACCGCUUUCUUCGCCCCAACCACCAUAGGCUAUCCAUUAUAAAUCCUCUACCACCAUCACCAUUGAACGAAUCACCCCACUACGUUGUGUUUGGAGUAUUUACGACAGGUAAACCACCAAUUCAACUGCCCACUCUCCCCUAAUUUUAGGGUUUGAAGAGGUUAAAUAUAGAAUGAUGAGCGCAAGAAGGAAAUCUGAAGUGGAGUUCUCCAUGACGACGGUUCCCCAUGCUCCUCCUGAAAUUCAAUGAUUCUACCUCUUCAUCCACUCAAAUUCACCAAUUUUCCACAUGGGUUCUCUCAAACCCACUUCAAUCUGUGAGCAAAUUCACUCGAUUGAUGGUGUAUCACCAUGGCUGUUGAUAAUUCAUCUUCUUCGCCUAGCUUCCGUGAGCUUGAUGAUGUGUUUUUGCAGUCUCAAGCAAGAAUAUGGCUUGGAGAAGUGUUGCGCACAAGAUUCGAUGAGCAAAUAAGCAUAGGUGACCUACUUUCUGAUGGGGAGAUGUUGUAGUCCUCUCUAUGUUUAAUGUGAUGUUGGUGAUAUAUGCUUUUCAAAUGUCAGCAUACCGUUUUCAAACCGCUGCCUGAUGCUCUUUGAAUCCUAAACCGUCAGCACUAGGAGGCGUGAUUGUCACCUUCAGGAAGCUUUCACCAUCACCACUAAGUGUCGCUCAAUGGCCACUACACCCGAGAAUCCUAUCUGUUCAGUUCUCGAUACCUGAUUAUGUGCGUGUUUCCAAAGAUUGUAGACACCUCCUUUCUCAUAUCUUUGUUGCUAACCCAUCCAAGGUACCCUUUCUAUCUAAAUAUAGAUGGCAUGACAUGUCGCAUUGUUGAGCAUGUCCUGCUUAUGUGCGUGUUUCCAAAGAUUGUAGACACCUCCUUUCUUGGUUUGGUAUACGCUUUUCUAUGUCUGUAUGUUAUUUGUUUUUGUUGAGUUAUUGCACUGGUAAUACUUAUUAAAAUGAAAGAAGUGGCCUGAACUUGAGAAGUCGUUUUUUUUGCUGCAUUACAUUAGUUAGCUGUAUGGUUUUUUUCGUUUCAGUUUUGGUUUGGGUUUUUGCCAUGUUUUAAUGGAUCAGAUUAUAAAGGGGACAUGUUAUUGAUGAUCAAACUGGCCAUAUGGGGGGUUGAGAUGUGAUUUUAAUUUGAACUAUGUUGAUUUUGGCUAUCUAGAAGAGAGUAAUGAAUUGUUAGUCUAUAAAUUGUUGUUUGCUUUCACUUACAUGGCUACACAUUGAUGCAUCGAAUCUACUUGAUCAGUAGGAAAGCCAAAAGCCUGUUGUUAAAGCCCUUCUUUAGUUUUUAUUAGUUUGGGCUAUAAAGUUCCUCUUUAUGCUUUUAAAAAAUUCUGAAUAAAUUUAUUCUACAGUGGUUGAGUAAUGCUAUAACAACCAAUUUUUGUAGACAUUCUAUUGACUUGGAACACCUUUUAUGCCAAUUUGCGUAUUUCUUUUUACAAAUACAUACCUUUUAAUUAUAUGAUAGCUUUAAAUGUAAGAAUAUUAGUUAAAGAAGUUUUAUAUAUAUAUAUAUAUAUAUAUAUAUUGUUUUGUUACAAGGUCAUUGGUCGUUCCCACGAGAUAUGCUUAUGCAAGGAUAUGCAUACAUCUUAACCCAUCCCGGAACGCCUGUGAUAUUUUACGACCAUUUUUAUGAUUUUGGGCUCCGUGAUGUUAUAACGAGAUUAAUCGAGGCAAGAAAACGGGAUGGGAUCCCUCCCAUACAGCCUAUUAUUUUAUCAUGCUCUAUCACACAUAUUAUAAGUACUGGCAGGUUCCUUGUGGUGAAUUGCUAAUGAAAUAGACACGACAAUGAAAGGAGAAGAUUGUUACUCUCCUGUACUUUGGUUUCACGGGUUACAAGGAGCAAUGUACACCGAGACUCUUUGCUUCACCAAAUAUUUAGUUCCAAUAAGUAUGCUCUUUUGUUUUGUUCAUUUUAAUGUUUGGUUAUUUGUUUAGUGACAAUAUAAAUACGUUUAUCAUUUUCUUUAUUAUAUUCUAUGGGUAUUUAUGUUAUUAUGCCGUUAA
This is an RNA transcript of Helianthus annuus (common sunflower), 2159 nucleotides long. It is a transcript of the gene named protein OPAQUE10-like, with no coding region annotated. The record is from RefSeq and is a predicted model, not a curated record. The transcript is spliced from 6 exons. Lineage: Eukaryota; Viridiplantae; Streptophyta; Magnoliopsida; Asterales; Asteraceae.